UAAAAGGCUAGGAAAAUCUCAAUAUGCUGAUGCUCCCUAGUUUACUGGGUAGAGGGCAGAGCUGUGUUUGUCACAGAAAAUAAAUCAUCAUGUCACAGUGAGAGAAGAAUGGUCAGAGACCUGAAGGUAAUCUGAAAAUGAAUGUGAAUAAAGACAGAAGGAGGGCAAGCUCUUCAACAUCAGGUCUGGGAUACUUCCUUCUUGAACUCAGUAAAGGACAUGAUGAUCCAUCAUUGCUCAAGCAAGAAACCUUAGUAUCCUCUGGAAACUCCCUCUCCAAAGAACUAAGAA
Canis lupus familiaris (dog) is the source of this 291-nucleotide long non-coding RNA. RefSeq lists it as uncharacterized. The transcript is spliced from 3 exons. NCBI's taxonomy places the organism in Eukaryota, Metazoa, Chordata, Mammalia, Carnivora, Canidae. The record is from RefSeq and is a predicted model, not a curated record.